ACGAUUGGGAUCGAAGAUGAUUAGAUACCAUUGUAGUCCUAGCCAUAAACGAUGCCGACUUGGGUUUCGAGGAGCACUUUUUUUAUGUCUUCUCGAGCACCAAAUGAGAAAUCAAAGUCUUUGGGUUCCGGGGGGAGUAUGGUCGCAAGGCUGAAACUUAAAGGAAUUGACGGAAGGGCACACCAGAAGUGGAGCCUGCGGCUCAAUUCGACUCAACACGGGAAAACUUACCAGGUCCAGACUUCGUAAGGAUUGACAGAUUGAGAGCUCUUUCUUGAUUCGAAGGGUGGUGGUGCAUGGCCGUUCUUAGUUGGUGGAGUGAUUUGUCUGGUUGAUUCCGUUAACGAACGAGACCUCGGCCUACUAACUAGUGCCGCGAAUCUUGCGAUUCGUUAUUAUUUGGCGCUUCUUAGAGGGACAAUUCGGUUUUACCGGAAGGAAGUUCGAGAAUCUC
Molecule: ribosomal RNA, 454 nt
Filed under: uncultured Thraustochytriaceae
Lineage: Eukaryota; Bigyra; Thraustochytrida; Thraustochytriidae
Description: bacterial SSU rRNA
Rfam family: Eukaryotic small subunit ribosomal RNA
Source: RNAcentral